GUUACUGUUCAAACAGCAAACUUGAUUGGAAUUCAGCUAUCUACUAUGUAAUAUCCUGUAGAACAAGUCAUUGCAGAUAUCAAAAGAGAGUCCACUUCCUCUCUUGCAUUAGUACUCUCCAAGUGCAAGUUUAUUUUAUUUUCUCCUAAUGUUACACAAAUAACAGUUUUUAAAUAACUGAUUGUUUACAUGUUAAGUUCUGUAUAUAUUACUUUUCAUUAUUAAGUUCCUUAAAUUAAAAAAAUUAAAUUACAGUGUUAACUUUUUUUAAUGUGAUUAUGUCACUGAAGGAAAGAGCCAUCUUCAGUCAACAGAUGUUAGUCAUAACAAUGGCCUUUUUGCAGAGAGCCAUCUUCAGUCAACAGAUGUUAGUCAUAACAAUGGCCUUGUUGCAGAAAGCCAUCUUCAGUCAACAGAUGUUAGUCAUAACAAUGGCCUUGUUGCAAAGAGCCACCUUCAGUAAACAGAUGUAAGUCAUAACAAUGGCCUUGUUGCAGAAAGCCAUCUUCAGUCAACAGAUGUUAGUCAUAACAAUGGCCUUUUUGCAGAGAGCCAUCUACAGUAAACAGAUGUUAGUCAUAACAAUGGCCUUGUUGCAAAGAGCCACCUUCAGUUAACAGAUGUAAGUCAUAACAAUGGUCUUUUUGCAGAGAGCCAUCUUCAGUCAACAGAUGUUAGUCAUAACAAUGGCCUUGUUGCAGAGCGAUCUUCAGUCAACAGAUGUUAGCCACAACACUGGUUAAGCCUAAGACUUAAGAUUCUCUCGAUGAUGAAAGAAGUGGCUAGUGUCAAGAAAAUUAUUCCAUUAAAAACUCAGAAACCUGAAUUUUUCUGCAGCCAUUGUGGAGACAAGGCAGGUACGGAUUCAGUAAUUAAAAUGCUAAUCUGGUUCAGUUUAUAGUAUAAAAUUUACAAAACCAUGUGAAAAUUAAAUGAAUGGAUAUUUGUUUUUUUAUAUCCAUAUAUGUAUGACUUAGUUGUGGAGCAUUCUUAUUCAGUUUCUUAUACUCUCCACAACUAAACAAUUUACGAAACAACGCAAAGUUUUCAACACCAUAAAUAUAAAAGGUUUUAAUUUUUUUUUUUAUUCCCUCUAUUCACUAUUGACACUACACAGUUUCUCUUCAAGAAGUCAUACUUGUAAUAUGGUAGUGGUUUCAAAUAUUGUAGUGAUAAAUACAUGUUUUUGUAAGCACAUUUUUAAUACUAAAAAUUUUAAAUUUAUUCUAAAGUAUCAUUUAAGUUUUUUUUGUGACUAACAGAUAUGUUUGUAACACAUAAAGAAAACAUUUUUUUUUA
Molecule: long non-coding RNA, 1299 nt
Organism: Homalodisca vitripennis (glassy-winged sharpshooter)
Lineage: Eukaryota; Metazoa; Arthropoda; Insecta; Hemiptera; Cicadellidae
Exons: 3
Source: RefSeq, a predicted model, not a curated record